Small nuclear RNA from Lemur catta (Ring-tailed lemur), 107 nucleotides. NCBI's taxonomy places the organism in Eukaryota, Metazoa, Chordata, Mammalia, Primates, Lemuridae. The record is from RefSeq and is a predicted model, not a curated record.
GUGCCUGCUUCAGCAGCACAUAUACUAAAGUUGGAAUGAUAAAGAGAAGAUCAGAAUGGCCCCUGUGCAAGGAUGACAUGCAAAUCUGUGAAGCGUUCCCAUAUUUU